RNAcentral lists this transfer RNA (75 nucleotides) under Bacillota bacterium. Its description in RNAcentral is "tRNA-Val". It matches the Rfam family "tRNA". Rfam says of the family: Transfer RNA (tRNA) molecules are approximately 80 nucleotides in length. The record is from RNAcentral. Lineage: Bacteria; Bacillati; Bacillota.
GGGCGCUUAGCUCAGUGGGAGAGCGCUUCCUUGACGCGGAAGAGGUCGUAGGUUCAAUCCCUACAGCGCCCACCA